UACGAAGGGGGCGAGCGUUGUUCGGAAUUACUGGGCGUAAAGGGCGCGUAGGCGGUGCACCAAGUCAGGCGUGAAAGCCCCCGGCUCAACUGGGGAGGGUCACUCGAUACUGAUCGACUCGAAGGCAGAAGAGGGAAGCGGAAUUCCCGGUGUAGUGGUGAAAUUCGUAGAUAUCGGGAGGAACACCGGUGGCGAAGGCGGCGACCUGGGUAGAUACUGACGCUGAGGUGCGAAAGCGUGGGGAGCAAACAGG
RNAcentral lists this ribosomal RNA (253 nucleotides) under uncultured bacterium. RNAcentral describes it as "partial 16S ribosomal RNA". It matches the Rfam family "Bacterial small subunit ribosomal RNA", at positions 524 to 776 of the family's 1533-position model. The record is from RNAcentral.